GACGAACGCUGGCGGCGUGCUUAACACAUGCAAGUCGAACGGUGAAGCCCUUCGGGGUGGCUCAGUGGCGAACGGGUGAGUAACACGUGAGCAACCUGCCCCUGGCUCUGGGACAACCACUGGAAACGGUGGCUAAUACCGGAUACGACCCGCCUCGGCAUCGAGUGUGGGUGGAAAGUUUUUCGGCUGGGGAUGGGCUCGCGGCCUAUCAGCUUGUUGGUGAGGUGAAGGCUCACCAAGGCGACGACGGGUAGCCGGCCUGAGAGGGCGACCGGCCACACUGGGACUGAGACACGGCCCAGACUCCUACGGGAGGCAGCAGUGGGGAAUAUUGCACAAUGGGCGAAAGCCUGAUGCAGCGACGCCGCGUGAGGGAUGACGGCCUUCGGGUUGUAAACCUCUUUCAGCUCCGAAGAAGCGAAAGUGACGGUAGGAGCAGAAGAAGCACCGGCUAACUACGUG
Molecule: ribosomal RNA, 462 nt
Filed under: uncultured bacterium
Lineage: Bacteria
Description: partial 16S ribosomal RNA
Rfam family: Bacterial small subunit ribosomal RNA
Source: RNAcentral